RNAcentral lists this ribosomal RNA (253 nucleotides) under uncultured bacterium. RNAcentral describes it as "partial 16S ribosomal RNA". It matches the Rfam family "Bacterial small subunit ribosomal RNA", at positions 524 to 776 of the family's 1533-position model. The record is from RNAcentral.
UACGGAGGGUGCAAGCGUUGUCCGGAUUUACUGGGCGUAAAGGGCGCGUAGGCGGCGCAACAAGUCACUUGUGAAAUCUCCGGGCUUAACCCGGAGCGGCCAAGUGAUACUGUCGUGCUAGGGUGCGGAAGGGGCUACUGGAAUUCUCGGUGUAGCGGUGAAAUGCGUAGAUAUCGAGAGGAACACCUGCGGCGAAGGCGGGUAGCUGGGCCGACACUGACGCUGAGGCGCGAAAGCCAGGGGAGCGAACGGG